This 575-nucleotide long non-coding RNA is filed under the name Triticum aestivum (bread wheat). RNAcentral describes it as "long non-coding RNA (TAES_LNC011156)". The record is from RNAcentral. Lineage: Eukaryota; Viridiplantae; Streptophyta; Magnoliopsida; Poales; Poaceae.
UCCAAGCUCUGUGGCUAGGAUAGUAGGAUCCAACGGGAACGCUUGCAGCCGCUGCUUCUUCCUCCAUGCUCUCACCGCCGCCACGGCGAGCAGGAACACAUCUCGCUGAUUAGCAACGAGUCUAGUCUUGAAGGUUUAUUUCGAGAGAGAUGAGUUACACAAACAAGCAACAUCUAACCGGACGAACUAACUUUAUUAUUCCGGAAACGAAGACGACUCACUCUACCCAGCAGCAGCUCACGAGUUCAAACAGCCAGUCGCACACAUACAUUACAGUCCAUGAAUGUCCAUCCAUCAAAAACCAACUCUCGUGCCAGGCCCCAACCGGCCCGGCGCAGCUUACUUAACUUAGGUGCAAGGGGGCGAGGAGCCUAGGAGGACUGCCGGAGCUCAGGGCGCACGAAGUCGGCGUCGGCCGUCACCGAGAUGUCGACGGUGGGCCUCAGCUCGGCGCACACCUCGAUGGCGCCGUGGACGGGGUCCGACAUGAAGUUGCUGAUGAGGUCCUGGUUGAUGGGCUCGUCCUUGUCCACCGUCACGAACGCCUGCUGGGUCAGGAUGUAGUCGAAGCGGGG